UCUCUGGAGGUCCAGUGAUUAGCACUUGGCACUUUGACUGCCAAGAACCCAGGUUCAAUCCCUGGUCAGGAAA
Molecule: transfer RNA, 73 nt
Filed under: Bos indicus x Bos taurus (hybrid cattle)
Lineage: Eukaryota; Metazoa; Chordata; Mammalia; Artiodactyla; Bovidae
Rfam family: tRNA
About the family: Transfer RNA (tRNA) molecules are approximately 80 nucleotides in length. Their secondary structure includes four short double-helical elements and three loops (D, anti-codon, and T loops). Further hydrogen bonds mediate the characteristic L-shaped molecular structure. tRNAs have two regions of fundamental functional importance: the anti-codon, which is responsible for specific mRNA codon recognition, and the 3' end, to which the tRNAs corresponding amino acid is attached (by aminoacyl-tRNA synthetases). tRNAs cope with the degeneracy of the genetic code in two manners: having more than one tRNA (with a specific anti-codon) for a particular amino acid; and 'wobble' base-pairing, i.e. permitting non-standard base-pairing at the 3rd anti-codon position.
Source: Rfam by way of RNAcentral